This 906-nucleotide long non-coding RNA is filed under the name Ananas comosus (pineapple). RNAcentral's name for it is "long non-coding RNA (ACOM_LNC035553)". Lineage: Eukaryota; Viridiplantae; Streptophyta; Magnoliopsida; Poales; Bromeliaceae. The record is from RNAcentral.
GUUCAGGGGGAUAACGAAAGUUAUCCCCGCUAUUCCGCCAAACAGGAUCAUUUUUUAUCAGAAUAUUUUAUUCCGGUCAAAGCUUGCUAUUUCCGAUUAUCCCGGAAUAUCAAGCUUUUUACUAUUCGACCAUUUUGGUGGAAUAGUGCUAUUCCAAUGCUUAAUUUUAAACUUAAUUAAAAUUAUAAAAUAAAUUAAAACUCAAUUAUAUAAAUAUAAUAUAUUAUAUAUUAUAAUACAUUAUUUUUAUUAUAAAAUUAUUAAUUGUACUAUAUUAAUACAUAUUAUUUAUAUUUAAAUAUUGUAAUAAAUUUUAUAAUAAAUUAUAUUUAAAUAUUAUAAUAAAUUAAAAUUUAAAAUUUAAAUAAAUUUAAAAUUUAAUUUUGAUAUUUUAAAUUUUUGAAAUUUUAAAUUUGAUGUUUUAUUUUUUAAAAAUUUAAAUUUGAUCUUAAAUUUAAAGUUUGAAAUUUAAAAUUUAAAAUUUUGAAUUUAAAAUUUGAGAUUUUAAAUUUUAAAUUUUGAAAUUUAAAAGUUAAAAUUUUAAAUUUAAAAUAAAAUUUAAAAGUUAAAAUUUUAAAUUUUGAAAUUUAAAAGUUAAAAUUUUAAAUUUUAAAAUAUAAAUACAAAAUAUAAAAAUUCAAAUUCCAAUAUAAAAAAAGGAUAAUAUUAUUAUUUUUAUUUAUAACUACCCACUUUAAUUCUUGUUCCAUCUUAUCUAACCAAACGCUAUUUUUUUUAUUUCCAGCAAUAACCCAAUUUUCAUCCAAACGUAAAAUUGAUCUAAUCCCCGCUUAUACCUCAAUUUAUACAUAUCCCUGGAAUACCCACUUUUUGCUUAUCCCCGAACCAAACGAUACCUAAUAAUUUAAAUAAUAUUUAAACAAUUAAUUUUACAAUCUCUAAUAA